UGGCGAACGGGUGAGUAACACGUGGGCAACCUGCCCAAAAGAGGGGGAUAACACUUGGAAACAGGUGCUAAUACCGCAUAACCAUAGUUACCGCAUGGUAACUAUGUAAAAGGUGGCUAUGCUACCGCUUUUGGAUGGGCCCGCGGCGCAUUAGCUAGUUGGUGGGGUAAAGGCUUACCAAGGCAAUGAUGCGUAGCCGAACUGAGGGGUUGAUCGGCCACAUUGGGACUGAGACACGGCCCAAACUCCUACGGGAGGCAGCAG
This 264-nucleotide ribosomal RNA is filed under the name uncultured bacterium. RNAcentral's name for it is "partial 16S ribosomal RNA". It matches the Rfam family "Bacterial small subunit ribosomal RNA", at positions 96 to 354 of the family's 1533-position model. The record is from RNAcentral.